RNAcentral lists this ribosomal RNA (361 nucleotides) under uncultured bacterium. RNAcentral describes it as "bacterial SSU rRNA". It matches the Rfam family "Bacterial small subunit ribosomal RNA", at positions 29 to 414 of the family's 1533-position model. The record is from RNAcentral.
AGCGAACGCUGGCGGCAGGCCUAACACAUGCAAGUCGAACGCGUGUAGCAAUACACGAGUGGCAGACGGGUGAGUAACACGUGGGAACGUACCUUUCGGUUCGGAAUAACUCAGGGAAACUUGUGCUAAUACCGGAUACGCCUUUACGGGGAAAGAUUCAUCGCCGAAAGAUCGGCCCGCGUCUGAUUAGCUUGUUGGUGAGGUAACGGCUCACCAAGGCGACGAUCAGUAGCGGUCUGAGAGGAUGAUCAGCCACAUUGGGACUGAGACACGGCCCAAACUCCUACGGGAGGCAGCAGUGGGGAAGUAUUGGACAAUGGGCGGAAAGCCUGAUCCAGCCAUGCCGCGUGAGUGAUGAAGG